Molecule: long non-coding RNA, 704 nt
Organism: Gossypium arboreum
Lineage: Eukaryota; Viridiplantae; Streptophyta; Magnoliopsida; Malvales; Malvaceae
Exons: 3
Source: RefSeq, a predicted model, not a curated record
GGAUGGGAUUUUUGAAGAGGAGAAUCGAUUGUAUUUUAGAGGGGGAGAUUACAUAGAGAGAAAAAAAGGUUUGAAGGAUUUUCAGAUCAAUUUUUCUUUUUGAUUUUUUUUUGGGUUCUAGUUUUUUUUUUCUUCUUGAUCUUUACUUGCUGCAUAUUUAUAACAAAAAAGAGAACAUUACAAAGCAACAAAAAUAGGAAAAGCAGUGAUUUCAAGUCGACGUUGGCUCCUCCGGCCUGAUGGUCGACAGAUCCUUGUGGUCUAGCUGAAACCGCGACGGUGGUAGAGGCGUAUUAUGCGCUGGUGAAGCCUAAGAGUCUGCCAAGUUGUCUAAAUAUGGUCCAAGUGAACACAUGAAAGAAGACUGAUAGCCCAUGAAGAAAUACAAGACUUUGCUUCAUUGCCUAAAGACAGAAACUGACAAAGAUUACUCGAGAGCCGUCACAUCUUGACCUUCUUAAAGGAGCUGACAAGUAUCACAGUAAUAAGUGAGCAAUGAGUCGCAGCCUGGAUCGAGCAAAAAAGGAGUUAAUAUAGACAUCUUUUGGAGAAUUCGUCAGACUCGACCAUAAGAUCCGGAUAUGAAGAGGAAGAUAGAUGUCUUCACUUGGAAUACAAGAGAAAAGCCGUAUAUGUAGUCCGUUUUAUGUAAAGGGAUUUGCUUUCUAGAAAAGUUGUUCUAAUGAAAUUAAAUUUAGAAUCAA